AGCAAUGCCCCUUACUCAU
Molecule: unclassified non-coding RNA, 19 nt
Filed under: Mus musculus (house mouse)
Lineage: Eukaryota; Metazoa; Chordata; Mammalia; Rodentia; Muridae
Description: oocyte_clustered_small_RNA4079
Source: RNAcentral